Molecule: ribosomal RNA, 1003 nt
Filed under: uncultured bacterium
Lineage: Bacteria
Description: bacterial SSU rRNA
Rfam family: Bacterial small subunit ribosomal RNA
Source: RNAcentral
CCUACGGGAGGCAGCAGUGGGGAAUAUUGGACAAUGGGCGAAAGCCUGAUCCAGCAACGCCGCGUGAGGGAUGACGGCCUUCGGGUUGUAAACCUCUUUCAGCAGGGACGAAGCGAAAGUGACGGUACCUGCAGAAGAAGGACCGGCCAACUACGUGCCAGCAGCCGCGGUAAUACGUAGGGUCCGAGCGUCGUCCGGAAUUAUUGGGCGUAAAGGGCUCGUAGGCGGUUUGUCACGUCGGGCGUGAAAACUCAGGGCUUAACCCUGAGCGUGCGUUCGAUACGGGCAGACUAGAGGUAUGCAGGGGAGAACGGAAUUCCUGGUGUAGCGGUGGAAUGCGCAGAUAUCAGGAGGAACACCGGUGGCGAAGGCGGUUCUCUGGGCAUGACCUGACGCUGAGGAGCGAAAGCAUGGGGAGCGAACAGGAUUAGAUACCCUGGUAGUCCAUGCCGUAAACGUUGGGCGCUAGGUGUGGGGACCUUCCAAGGUCUCCGUGCCGCAGCUAACGCAUUAAGCGCCCCGCCUGGGGAGUACGGCCGCAAGGCUAAAACUCAAAGGAAUUGACGGGGGCCCGCACAAGCGGCGGAGCAUGUGGAUUAAUUCGAUGCAACGCGAAGAACCUUACCUGGGUUUGACAUGCACAGGACGCCGGCAGAGAUGUCGGUUCCCUUGUGGCCUGUGUGCAGGUGGUGCAUGGCUGUCGUCAGCUCGUGUCGUGAGAUGUUGGGUUAAGUCCCGCAACGAGCGCAACCCUUGUCUCAUGUUGCCAGCGGGUAAAGCCGGGGACUCGUGAGAGACUGCCGGGGUCAACUCGGAGGAAGGGUGGGGAUGACGUCAAGUCAUCAUGCCCCUUAUGUCCAGGGCUUCACACAUGCUACAAUGGCCGGUACAAAGGGCUGCGAUGCCGUGAGGUGGAGCGAAUCCUUGGUAAAGCCGGUCUCAGUUCGGAUCGGGGUCUGCAACUCGACCCCGUGAAGUCGGAGUCGCUAGUACAUCUCAGAUA